AAGUCGUAACAAGGUAACCGUAGGUGAACCUGCGGUUGGAUCAUUAAAAAAUUAACAAAUUCUCUGUGGGUGUCGGGUUUGUCUCUUUUCCAUAGGCGAUAGCCCAGGCAACCACGGGAGGCUUCGGCCACAUACUGUGAACUGUACCGUCUUUGGUGGUGGGGUGGGCAUGGCAGAAUGCUAUGUCUCAUCUGUCAGCUUGGACUGCAAGGUCCCGGCCGUGGACAAGCCACCGCAUGUUUUCAAACAUUUUCUUAUUUUGUCUGACAUUUAACUUGUAUGAAUAUACAAACAACUUUUGGCAACGGAUCUCUUGGUUCUC
This 322-nucleotide unclassified non-coding RNA is filed under the name Spizellomyces sp. RNAcentral's name for it is "partial internal transcribed spacer region". The stretch from base 1 to 46 matches the Rfam family "Eukaryotic small subunit ribosomal RNA", at positions 1786 to 1831 of the family's 1831-position model. RNAcentral also lists the same sequence under 1 other name. Lineage: Eukaryota; Fungi; Chytridiomycota; Chytridiomycetes; Spizellomycetales; Spizellomycetaceae. The record is from RNAcentral.